AACAUUAAAUUUUCGACUCAGACGCUGAUACACAAAAGACCCAACCAUGGCCUCUGGGGUGACAGUGACUGAUGAAGUUAUUACAGUCUUCAAUGUGAUGAAGGUCCGUAAGGCCCAGGCGAACGAGGAUGAGAAGAAGAAGAGGAAGAAGGCAGUGCUGUUCUGUCUGAGCGAGGACAAGAAUAACAUUAUCCUUGAAGCAGGUAAAGAGAUUCUGACCGGUGAUGUGGGUACCACCAUCGCAGACCCUUUCCUGCACUUUGUCAAGAUGCUGCCUGCCGACGACUGUCGCUACGCCGUCUUUGACGCAACCUAUGAGACCAAGGAGACCAAGAAGGAUGACCUUGUCUUCAUCUUCUGGGCCCCAGAAGGUGCUCCACUGUAGAGCAAAAUGAUCUAUGCCAGCUCAAAGGAUGCCAUUAAGAAGAAAUUCACAGGUUUCGAGCAUGAAUGGCAAGUUAACGGUUUGGAGGACAUCAAAGAUCGGUGCACCUUAGCAGAUAAGCUUGGAGGCUCAUCAGUGGUCACCCUUGAAGGUGGGCCUGUAUAAAUCCACUCUCUGUCAACUGAGGCCUACAGGGAAAGAAAAAAACAGAAUUUAAGUCCCGGGGGUAUGGCUGUUCAUUCAAGAAUGAGAAGGAAUUGGGUGAGGGGGGUUUAGAGUACAAAUAAGAUGGGGUGGAGGG
Oncorhynchus kisutch (coho salmon) is the source of this 686-nucleotide RNA transcript. It is a transcript of the gene named cofilin-1 pseudogene, with no coding region annotated. NCBI's taxonomy places the organism in Eukaryota, Metazoa, Chordata, Actinopteri, Salmoniformes, Salmonidae. The record is from RefSeq and is a predicted model, not a curated record. The transcript has a single exon.